Molecule: non-coding RNA, 95 nt
Organism: Nicotiana sylvestris (wood tobacco)
Lineage: Eukaryota; Viridiplantae; Streptophyta; Magnoliopsida; Solanales; Solanaceae
Source: Rfam
UGGACAGAUUACUCUAUUCGACUGUAUUCACAGCGUGAAACAGGGGAUUACACUUUUUUAAACGGAAUGUGUAUCAAUUAACAUAAUAGACUCCU